Molecule: non-coding RNA, 46 nt
Filed under: Azadinium spinosum
Lineage: Eukaryota; Dinophyceae; Gonyaulacales; Amphidomataceae
Source: RNAcentral
CAGAAAAUAAAGCCCCCGACACCCCGCAGCGAGCAGGCCAUUCUGG